CAAGUUCACAUAUGCACCCUUCAACUGCAUGCCAUUUACAAACUAAACAGACAUUACUUCAAUUCUGGAUAAUGUUGAAAUCCAAAUAAACCUUCCCUUUUAAUCCCCUACAUAUGCUUAAUUAUUCACUAACAAUGCUUACAUGUCCAGCUUCUGAACUUAAUAAUCAAUAUCAAACCAACAGUACCAAAGCACAAUCAAACAUAUCCAAAAAAACUCUCAUCAAUUCACAGCUUAAAACAUGCUGGGCUCAAUUACUUAAUCACCUUACAAGUGCUUCAAUAAUAACAACAUAACGAACACUUAAACACAUAGUAAGACCAAAUAAUCACAAAAUCAAAUAAUACAAAAUAGAUUGCAAUAAAAUAUUGUAUCAUCAAAAGUCCUCAUAUUCAAUUUCAACAUGUCAUUUGAGGUCCAAAGCGUACCUAAACACAACAAAAUAACAAGGAAAAUAAGCUUGGAGCUUAAGAAGAAGCAACAAGAGCAAUGUAAUAGUUCCAAAAGAACAAAUUAAAACAAACUUCCAAACCAACUCAAACUAAUUUAACCCAGGUGCACGAUUUUGAACUUUUAGAAACUCUAAUUAACCAAAGGAAAUCAAAGAACCAGAAGCCAAGCAAAUUUUCAGCAAUUUUCAAUAUUUUGUAGUUUGAAAGAGACUUACGCCGUUUUCCAAGUUUUUCAUUGUUUUUUAAUUCUCUAAAAUCUGACUUGAGAAUGAAGUAACAAACCUUUUAUAGAGGCUUCUUAGGGCAGCAGAAAUGAACUUCAAAUUUUGCCUAUUACUGCUUCUUA
Molecule: long non-coding RNA, 798 nt
Filed under: Nicotiana benthamiana
Lineage: Eukaryota; Viridiplantae; Streptophyta; Magnoliopsida; Solanales; Solanaceae
Description: long non-coding RNA (NBEN_LNC040443)
Source: RNAcentral